GUUGCAAAAGCACCCUGUUGGUGUCCUUGAGAGAAGCUCCGAAUUAAGUAGGCGCUUUAAACCCUGGGGAAGAACAAUUUCCAACCGUAGCUGCCUAGGAAAGAAAGAUAUGCCUUUUCCUCGCGAAUCGUUUCUAAGAGCCUUUUUCUUAAUGCUGUGAGAACAAAAUCAAGGGGACCCUCUCGCUUCAAGUCUUGAAGAUGAGUAGAGUCGCUUCAUUUGUGCCCUUGAAUAUGUUCCCCUUUCUAAAUUUUGCGUAUCCUUGAGAGGGCCUCUCAUUCUUAAGUUAACUGUAGAGUUGCUAGUCUACAGGAUCCCCCCUCCCCCAGCCAGGUGAAUAGAAGGUAUCACCUGAUGUUUUGUAAGAGGUUUGGCUCAAACUGUUCCAUAGGGAGGAAGACCACCUUUUAAAAUGUGGCCAGCUUCCUCAUUUAACUCAGAGAUUGUGCUCAAGCGUGCUGCUCUUCGUCUUCGCCUAAUGGAGAAGAUGCUUAAGAGCACCCUCCGAGUUCUUCUGAGUUUUCCAUUUGACUGGGGAGCAAGCAGAGCUUACCUUUUUCUUCACCACCCUUUAGUCAGAACUGAGAGGGCCGGGUCGGGCGCUUUCCCCCACACACCCGAAAUAUGCUGUAGGGUCGGAAGACAGGGACGCUGCUGAACCUAAGAGGAUCCCUUCCCCCGUUUCUUGGUGUCGUGCAGACGACAGCCCUAAUAUACCCCAACAGGUGCUGGAGUAAGUCGCACUUGCUGCCGCUUCAGCCCUGCCCUUUGGCACUGUGGUGGCGGCCCUCUUCCAACGCACCCAUCUUGGUGGAGAGCGUGCGAGAGGAAAGGACACACCCGUCGCGUCGGGGGCUUGGCGCAGAGAUCAGCCCCGCUUUCCCAGAGCCGACGAGAGGACGGCACGGGAGCUGGAGAGGGAAUAGGGAGCCGGCAUCGCGUGCUCCCGGCCCGUUACUUUGGGGCCAGGCCAGCCACCUCUGUGUCCAUGAGACCGCCGUCUGCCCGUCAGAGGAGCUGCCGCCGCCACCGCCGCCACCUCCUCCACCAGCAACCACCAACCAGAACGCACGCCGCCGCCACUACCGCCUCCGGGCCCAGUUGCUUUGAUUCUGCUGCCGCCUUUCCUCCGCGCAGCAGAAGGGAAAGACUACUGAUCCCUGUGUGAAAAGAAUGGCUGUGACUUUAGAACAGGCCCAAAGGGCGGGCUAUAUAUUUCUGAAAGCACUCUUAAGAUUUGGCUUCAUGGUUGCUAAUAACCUUGUGGCCAUUCCGUCCUACAUUCUCUAUUUAAUAGUACUGCAACCUCUCCGAUUGUUGGAUAGUAAACGGUUCUGGUACAUUGAAGGAGUAUUAUUUAAAUGGCUUUUAGCUAUGGUGGCAUCCUGGGGCUGGUGGGCAGGAUAUACAGGUAAGAGCAAUUUACUACUUGAAAUGUAACACACACAUAUACUGGAAAAAAAUUAUAUAUAUUGAAAUGUGCAUAUGAAUGAAUGUCUCCUAAAAUAUUUGUGUUCUUAUAGGGGUAUCUUCAGUGUUUAUAGAAUAAAAACUUAGACUGUAAUCCUAUGCUCAUUUUGGUAUUUAAUGCUGAAAAGUGUUCAGGACAACUUACAAGUUCAGUUUUGAAAGCUGAACUUUCAUAACAGCCAAACCCUUAUAAAAUAUUAAUUGAAAGUGAAAGCAGUUAACAAAUUAUAGUUAUUCUCUUUGUCCCUUGAGGUCAAAUAAAACUGUUCUUUCUUGUGUAAAAUAAGGAAGCAUGACACAGGUGGACUCUGAGAAAAGAGGAAGCUCUGCUGAACUCUCUGGGAUUUAUUGUGAAGUGAUCAUGCACAGACUUUAUCAUAUCUCAAGGGAAUAUGUAUGGAUACUAGGGGAGUGGGACACAUUAUGUUCAUUUAUGCUACUGUAUCUGUGAAAAUUAGGUAACUCCAGUGACAGGAGUGGAGGACAGAUUGCUCUCACUUUAGCACUAGCCUUAGGUAGAAUGUUUUAUUUUACCCUCUGGUGGUGAACAUUGACUUACCUGGAGGAAAGAGGAGGGGUGCACCCAUUGUUUGGGGUGAGGAAUAGUUUUUAUUCUCAGCUUUAUCCUAGGUUGUAUCUGUGAUGAUAGUAUACUGUGUUAGAAUAUUAAGAGUGAACUUGUUUAUGUUACAUAGUGAAUGUCCAAAAUUUGGUAAAUGUUGACUUUCAGUUAUGAAAGCCAACAGUCACAGAUAACUUUUUUAAAUACAUAUUGUAUGGGUGAAUGUCAGUUUCAGAUCACUGCUGUAAAAACUAUAGAUAACAUUUUUGCAAGUCUUUAAAUGGAAAUAUAUAUAUUCUCAAUAUAGUUUGAUCCAUAUAUACAGCAGUGACUUAGUUACUACUUGAAAUGUAGCGUAUGUAUUUUCACAUAUUAAAUUAGUGGUCCCCAGCCUUCUGGGACAUGGGGGUCACAUUAGAGUGCCCAAUGCCUAAAGAAGAUCACAUCUUAAAAGUAAUAAAAUUAUUAACCUACUGAUUUAGAUCGAAAGUGAACAUUCAGAGGUCACUGAAGAAAUGAUAAUUUAAAUGCAAUCCAUUUUGGAACAAUAUUUUACUGUGAAAUCUUUAUCUCGCAACACAUGCUUACCCAGUCAGUGUGAUUUUUGUGGCUGUUUUCUGUUAAUUAAGGCUUUAAUAUCCAAGUCAAGGUUUGUGACAGACACUCUUAAAUGUAAAUGUUCAUCUGUAAGUCUUGAUCUACACUUGGAUUUCACAAUUUUCGUCUUGGAAAAAGUUUGUUGACAAAUAUAUGUGAUGCCAAAGACUGAACAUGCCUGCAGCAAAUUUCUUUAGGUUGAUAAAGAUACCAAGUAGACCACAUUAGAAAUUUGUUUUCUUUGUAAAGGGCUCUGAGGUGAUCACUGGUUUGCAAAUCAAUUAAUUCCAUCUGAAAAAGUUAUUUGCAUCUUCUUGCAUCUACUUCGAAUGGAUUUUGAAACAUUCUUAUUUUCUUUCCAUGCUUAUGGCAAUCAGUGAAUCUAUUCUGGAAUUCCACCUGCAAUAGGCUCAGUGCUUUGAUGUGUCUUUCAGCAUUGAAUUGUAAAUUCCUAUCCCUCUCAAUUUUUGGUUCAUUGAAGCACCAGACGUUUGCAGGGUACUUUCACUAACUUGCUUCACAAAAAUGUUUUGUUUUGCUUCAAAUACUUCAAUUCAGAAUAUGUGUGUCAGACACAAGCUUUCUUUUUCUCUGCAACUGUACAUUCAGUGUAUUCAGAUGAUCUGUGUUACCAGUUAAGAAAGCCAAAUCAAAAAUCCAUCUAGGGUCAGAAAUUACUUCUUGACCUUUUCCUUUCUUGUUGAGAAAGACAUCAACUUCAUGAUGAAGACUGAAAAACUGUGGACUUUGCCUCUGCUAAGCCACUUGACUUCUGCAUGGUACAAUAUACAUAUUCUGCAUCCAUCUCUGAGAAAAAAAAUUGUAAGUGAUAAGUUAGGCUAUAAUGCCUGAUGUAAUUAAUGAUGGAUACAACAAUAUGCAUCACACUUUCCCAUUGAAGAAUCUUACUACACAAAGCUUGCUGAUGGAUGAUGCAGUGAAAUUGCAUGGGAAAUGUACUGAAAAGAGAUUUCAGUAUCUCUUCAUUGAUUAUUGCAACUACACCAGUUUUAUUUCCUACCAUAUUUCUUUUAUCAUCAGUUGUGAUGCUUUUCAAUUUAUCCCAACUCAGACCAAGAUAUUGUACUGAUUCACAGCCUUCAAGAAUAUGUUUCAAUGCGGUUGUAGUGCCUUUCAAACUCAACAGUGCAUAUAAUUCUUCAGUAAUUCUGAAAUUGGAAUCUAUCCCCCUGAUCAAUAUUAGUAGUUGAGCAGUGCUUAUAUUUAUUUAUUAUUUAUUUAUUUGGAAUUCUUAUAAUGUCAUUGCUCUUAUUUAAUGCCAAAGAAAAAAACCUUCUUGUUCUGACAGUUACAUAUGCAGCUUUUCUCCUAGUUCUUCAACAUGCCUGGUGAUUGUAGAUGCAGAUAAACUGACACAACUAACACAGCAUACCUUAUCAGGGCAUGUUUCCUCCAUUACAAAUCUAUGCACUUCUUAACAAAUGCACCUCUUAACAAAUCCACUCUCAGUGAAUGGCCUGCCACUCUCAGCAGUACAUUUAGUAACAUGAUAGGUGGCCCUUACAGUUGACAGGUUCUCCUCAACAUACUUUCUAAAACUAUUUUGCUGCAAAAACAUUGAUUUUUUUUAUCUCCUUGAUAAUACUGAGUAGCUCUUGUGACAGGAUUAAAAGUACCUUUUAUUAUUAUUAUUAUUAUUAUAACAUUUCUAUGCCGCCCCUUGCCGAAACCUCGGGGCGGCUUUUAACAUUGUACUUCUUUAAUCCUAAGGUAGUUUCAAGACAUAUCAGGCAAACUGCUUUAUCCUUGUUUAAAACACAUACUCAAUGGUCCAUUUGUCAUUAAAGACAAAAUGCUCAUCUGCAACUUCAUUUCUUUGAAACAGCACUUUCUUUUGCGGACAUCUUCUUACAUAAUUUUUAGCAGAUCAGCAAUUGCAGGGUUUCAUUAUUACCCUUGAAUGAAUAAAAAUAUGAGAAGUAUAGUUUUAGGAGUCUCUUCCCUUUCCCAUCAAAUCCACCCCACUCUGGAUGCUGUUAGCUGGGGAUUUUCAUUUUGACCAUGACAAAGAAGAGACCCCUGCCUCUAUAGUUCUCAGGAAUAUUGGGCCAAAUGCACAGACUAAGAAGAAUUUUUAAAAAAAUGGAUCAUGAAUCUGACCUACCAGAUGGCAGAGCUGCAAUCCUAGGGACAUUUAAUACUGUAAGAUUUCUUCCUUAAUAAACACACUGUCUUGAGGUUUAAAUCUAUACAUGCUAAUAUAAAAAUUGGGGGCUCUCCAAAGAAAAGGGCAGGUAGAGAGAAAGCAUGAAUAAAAGGAGAGCCUCCCACCUGGAGCAGAGGAUAUGCCAUUAAGUUGGCUUCAAAUUAUAUGCAGGGUGCACAUACACAUCACUGUGUGCCAGCCAAGCUUCUACCAUGAGAAGCAAAAUGGCAGUCAGGAGGAAGGGAAUGUGACUGGAGGAAGAUGUGGGAAGGGGAAUCCCGUAAGCUUCAGUCCUAAGAGAGAUCUUCCCUCUCAACCAAUCCUGCAGUCACAGAUGCAUGAGAAGACUCCUAGCUGGAGUGGGUGGGGAAGGAGAGGCAAAAGCAAGCAAAGUCAGAGCAACCAGUUCUUGUUGAGGAAGGAAGCAUGCAUUUUCCUGAAGCGGCAACCUCACCAGUAACCUUGGAAGCCACUGGAAGGUACCUUGAUGGGCAAAGCCUCUAGAAAUGUUCAAUAUGCAAAGCACUUUGUAUCCUUUUUGCAAACAUUCUAGCUCUUUUAGUCUCCUUUUCCCACCUUUUCUCGCAAAAGCAGGCCAGACAUCUCUAGAACCCAUCCACAUAGCAGCUUUAGCUUCCUUAUAUAUAUAGCUUUCAACAUGGUAAUACAUGGAGAGGGGUGAUGAAAAGGCUGAGUGGUACAGGUUCCUGAUCUCUGUUGGCUAGGAAAGCUCCCAGAAUCGUCAAAAAGCUAGUAUAGAGGAUAAGACCAAGAGUGGGUGGACAGAAGGAACCAUGGAGAUCAGAAGAAACAAUGUUGCUGGUGUGUGAGUGUUUGGGUAUUUGGUAUGAAAGGGACAGGAAAAACAGCAGUAGGUGGUGCUGCUUGAGGCUUGUGUGUCUGAGGAAAAAUGCCUUGAGGGUGAGAGUACUAAAUAUGGUUGGACAGCCACAAAGAAAGUGCAUGGGGACUGCAUGCAGCCCAUGGGUUGCAGGUUGGGGACUCGUGUUUUAAAUAAUUGGUAUGGAGUAAUAAGCCAUGGGUACAGAGCAGCUCCCAUAUGUUUGCAGUGAUUUCCGUGCUCUAUUGGAAUUGCAUAGACUGGAAGGCAAUAGCCUUGUAUGCGUCUCAGUAACUUUUUGUUUGUUCAUGAAGAAGGCAUGCAGUAAAAAGUAGGUACAUCUUCCUUGCCUGUGUACCUCAUUACAUGCUUUUAAUUCUUAUUGGUUUGAUGGUAGAGAUUUGUUUUUCUUUAUCCCUAAUUCUUCUUAAUAAGUGAGUUUGCAUGGCACCCCUGUUCAUUGUGGGCAGCUGACCAUGAUGGGUUGACAUGUUAGCCAAACCCAGACUGGUCCCUGCAGAGUGUCUUCACGGGGAACAAAUCAGCCUGGCAAUCCAUGACUUGAUCUAUGAGCUCUCAUGCUCACGAUGAGUUGUUCUGUCAUUCAAACCUAGGAGAGCAACUUUACCAUGCAUUGUCAGGAUCAAUUACAGAGCUGUUCAGCAAGAGCAGCAAAAUAACCUGCCACUCUUCAUAGUCUUUCACUUCUAGCUUCCCUUGCUGGUGACUGUCUCUCUGUCAUUGCCAAAAUAGCACUUGGGAUGGAUUGUUACUUGUUCACCCAGGGCUUUUUUUGUCGUAGAACACACUGGCACCUUUUUUUCAAUGGAUUUUAUCUGUCAGUGAUUUUGGCUAGCAGAUCAGCAGCAAACAUCAUUAACAUAGUGCCUGCAG
Molecule: long non-coding RNA, 6531 nt
Organism: Varanus komodoensis (Komodo dragon)
Lineage: Eukaryota; Metazoa; Chordata; Lepidosauria; Squamata; Varanidae
Exons: 3
Source: RefSeq, a predicted model, not a curated record